This is a long non-coding RNA of Oncorhynchus tshawytscha (Chinook salmon), 4444 nucleotides long. Lineage: Eukaryota; Metazoa; Chordata; Actinopteri; Salmoniformes; Salmonidae. The record is from Ensembl.
AUCAGUACCCCAACCAGAAGCCAUGGAUUACAGGCAACAUUCGUACUGACUAAAGGGUAGAGCUGCCGCUUUCAAGGUGCGGGACUCUAACCCGGAAGCUUACAAGAUAUCCCGCUAUGCCCUGCGACAAACCAUCAAACAGGCAAAGCGUCAAUACAGGGCUAAGAUUGAAUCAUACUACACCGGCUCCGACGCUCGUCGGAUGUGGCAGGGCUUGCAAACUAUUACAGACUACAAAGGGAAGCACAGCCGCGACCUGCCCAGUGACACAAGUCUACCAGACGAGCUAAAUCACUUCUAUGCUCGCUUCGAGGCAAGCAACACUGAGGCAUGCAUGAGAGCAUCAGCUGUUCAAGAUGACUGUGUGAUCACACUCUCCGUAACCGACGGAUCCCCAUCAAUGUUCCUCCAACUGAUUGGACUCUUGGAAAGCCCUUUGUUAACAUAGAGCGAGUAUGGUAAUAUCAAAAGGCUACCCUCCUGGAGCACCCCCGCCCUCUCUGAUCCCUACCUUAGACAGGACCUGAGCCCUAGGACCAUGCCUCAGGACUACCUGGCCUGAUGACUCCUUGCUGCCCCCAGUCCUCCUGGCCGUGCUGCUGCUCCAGUUUCAACUGUUCUGCCUGCGUCUAUGGAACCCUGACCUGUUCAUCGGACGUGCUACCUGUCCCAGACCUGCUGUUUUCAACUCUAGAGACAGCAGGAGCGGUAGAGAUACUCCUAAUGAUCGGCUAUGAAAAGCCAACUGACAUUUACUCCUGAGGUGCUGGCCUGUUGCACCCUCGACAACUACUGUGAUUAUUAUUAUUUGACCAUGCUGGUAAUUUAUGAACAUUUGAACAUUUUGGCCAUGUUCUGUUAUAAUCUCUACCCGGCACAGCCAGAAGAGGACUGGCCACCCCUGAUAGCCUGGUUCCUCUCUAGGUUUCUUCCUAGGUUUUUGCCUUUCUGGGGAGUUUUUCCCAGCCCCCAUGCUUCUACACCUGCACUUUGAGAUAUCAGCUGAUGUAAGAAGGGCUAUAGAAAUCAAUUUGAUUUGAUUAGGGCUCACACACACCGUACAGUACACACACAGUAGGGUGCUCACACACACUGUACACACACAGUAGGGCUGGGAUGAUACCAGUAUCGCAUUAUUUCUUCCAUGGCAAAAAUGAAAACACAAAGCAGAUAUCAUGGCACAGAUGCAGACACAGGAGGCAGAUGGUUGGAGUAUUACAAUGUUUAUUAAUCCAAAGGAGUAGGCAAGAGAAUAGUCGUGGACAGGCUAAUACCAAUGGGUACCGAAGGGCAGGCAGAAUCAAGGUCAGGGCAGGCAGGAUGAUCAGGCAGGCACAAAAGCAGUCCAGAGCCAGGCAGGGGUCAGAACCGGAAGGAUUAUAAAAAGAGAAUAGGAAAGGAGUACGGGAAAAACACGCUGGUUGACUUGACUAAACAUGCAAGACGAACUGGCACAGAGAGACAGGAAACACAGGGAUAAAUACACUGGGGAAAAUAAGCGACACCUGGAGGGGGUGGAGACAAUCACAGGAACAGGUGAAACAGAUCAGGGUGUGACAGCAGACUAAACUCUUUUUUUUUAAUGCUGUAUGUAAACUAUUGUGUGCUAUAGCUUUAAAAAAUACAACAAUUUGACUCUGGAGGACAAAAUAAUGAUGUUUGUUUCCAACAUUAGGGCUGUUUUCCUAAAGAAGUUAAAUCUGCGUCAUAUUUUGUUUCCUUGCCAUGAUACUAACACGUUUCGCGAUACUGGUAUCGUCCCGGCCCUAACGCACACACACACAUCCUACAUUUCCACAGCACACUCAGGUUGACCAGUAGCUAGAUGUGUCAUUAAUUCAUAUAAACUCGGACAAAUGCCAAGUAUGACACACAUACGGCCUCUUGCCUCUUACUCACACUCCUCCUCAUGCCCACAAUAUCAUGCAGCUUAUCAACCUACACAUUCACACUCUCCCUCCUACACACACUAUGACUAUGUUCUUCUUAAUCUAGUGUCUCUCUGUCUCAACUCUUUGCUGCAGUGGGUCGUGCUGAGGAUCAUAUUGGGGACAGCUGUGUUCCAGGUUAUAUGAGGGAAGUGGGACAUAUGGGCAGCUGUGAUGUAACCACAGGAGGAGAGGAGGAAGUCAGGGAGGGAGGGACAGCCAUGUUUGUGACAGGCCCACUGGGACAGACAGACAGAUCUGGCACUGUGGUUCUGUUCUGGUCCUCAUGGAGAUCUCUGGUUUACCUGUCUCUCUCCCAGGAUGUUAAUACCUCCAGGGUGUUGGGGUGUGUGCGCACUAGGGUUGAAUAUUUUCCAAGUAUUUUACAAAUGUUCCAGCCUGAGAUUAUAUCACUUUUCUCCCAGGUAAUUCGGUGUGUCAUUCAAAAGCAUAUACAUAUGUCUGGAUUUGAUUAGGGCUUUGAUCAGCAUGAACAUUCAGACCUGAUGCUACCUGAGCCUAAUGAGCCAUAUAUUAAGUACAUUUUAGGAGCCCUACAUUAACAACAUUUAAUGAGCCCAAGCCCCAAAUAGCUCAAAUGAUUGUGUCGUUAUCCAAUACAUAUAUGAUAUAGGCUACUGCACAUUAUGCACAUCAUAAAAACUUAAAACCCCAUAGAUGUAGCUAGAUAUAUGAUCUCUUGGGUAAAUAAAUUAAACUAGCUCCAGUAAGCUUUGUUUUUUUUAGUGUGAACUGUAUUACUGUACUGUGUUGUUUUAUAUUGACUGGAAUAACAUCAUGAUAGAGCAGAAGAGAACAUGCGUUUCUAGUGCAGCACAUGCACACAAUUUGAUUUGAAUUUUUAAAUAUAAUAGGCCCUAUUUGUAUAAUUAGUAGGCUGAUGUAUAUACACCUUUCAUAAUAUUUCCCUUAAUGUUAUUAGCCUACCUCCUCUUUCUCUCUCUAUUGUUGCUUCAUUCAUUCCUCGCUUUCAACAGUUAAAUGAAAUACAUUUUGUUGUCAUUCUGAUGACAUCCUUGAAUAAUAUUAGACUAAAAUUAGAUGCAGAAGGCUUUCACUUCUCUUCACGAAGAUUGAAUGGUUAUGGGUCUGAAUAAAUAACUGCUUUAGCCUACUGCCGUUGUGCGCGUUCACUCUUCUUUCCAUCUACCGGCGAGUUCUAUUGGCGGCUGUAUUUAACAUUCAGCAAAAAAAGAGCUUGAGUCCCUCUUCGAAUAGUCUAUUGGUAUAAGAAAUACCAAUACCAAUAUUCUAGUCCAGCUUUUCCUGCAUGGGACUCCAAGAGCUAAGGAGCACUUUUUAAGGAGAGAGGCCAGCAAAGCACAGGUAUGUGUGUAUUGCGCAAGAGACAGAAGCUAUAAGUUAGAAACUUAUUGUGCAUAACCCAUCAUUAAUUAGCUAAAUAUAAGGCUAAUGCAUUGAAUGUAUUACCUGAAAGAGAUAGGACAUCUCUAUAUAAGGCUAUAUAUUUUAAGUUGAUGGAGCGAGAGAAAGACAGAGAGUGUUUGUGCAUGCCCGAUAAAGCAACGAUAUUCCAGUGAUAGGCUGUUUUAAAACUCUGCAGCUGCAAUAAAAAAACAGACUCUUUAAAAUAACAAAACAAGGUGACCCCCGAAAGCCAGAUGGAGAUGGGUAAAUUAGAUGCGCAUUCUGUCUUUAUAUUAGCAAAUGUAGACCUACCUGUCACAAGAGAAAAGUUACCAUGAUGAGAUGAUCGUUCUACAUGCAUUGUGAACUACACUCCAUACUGAGAUGGGCUGUCUGUCCCCACCCUGAGUGUUGAUUCAUCAUGCAGAGGCCCUAGAGAAGCCAGCUUUAGCCAUUGCACAUAAUUUAACAGUUCCAUUUCAUGCCAUGCUGUUCAUAUAAAUACUUUAUUAUAAUUGACUGGUUUCUCUCAGUUAUUUACCCCGGGAAGGGAAGUGGUUUUAGGCAGUAAAUCUCGGGAAACCUGGUUCCCGCCAUUCAACCAUAAUGUGCACGCCCUUCAUUCUAUCUAUUUUCAGUAUGAACAUUUUAGUAGUGAAUUACAUUUUCUGUGUGUAUGUUGCUAGCAGAGUAGAAGCUCAUCCCUUCUGGCGUAUGUAGUGGUGUCAGUGGCAUGUGUUCUGGUUACUUACUGCUCUUUAAAGGGCUCUGCUUAGCACCACUGAUACCCUCUGAGUUACAUCCUGACUGGAACAGCCCUCUCUGGGCACCAGCCUCUGGUGUUUGGGAGUUAGCACCUAGGCCUACACUCUGGCUAAUGCAACACAGAACAGUCCCACUCAACCCUCCCAAAGACACCCUCACACAUUCAGACUCACUGACACAUCCCUCUCUGUCUCUUCUGGUCGGUGCAGGCAGCCCGGGCAGCUGGCUGGCCAUUUGGUGAACACUUGUCCUCUGAAUGUGAUCUCAUCUCAUCCCUGUAGCUCAGUAUGGAGGGGCUUGUCAUCUCUCCAGCUGGCAGGGCAUCACUCACACACACACACACACACACACACACACACACA